Molecule: ribosomal RNA, 559 nt
Filed under: Pseudosinella alba
Lineage: Eukaryota; Metazoa; Arthropoda; Collembola; Entomobryomorpha; Entomobryidae
Description: partial 28S ribosomal RNA
Rfam family: Eukaryotic large subunit ribosomal RNA
Source: RNAcentral
AAGCACGGACCAAGGAGUCUAACAUGUGCGCGAGUCAUUGGGAAUGUAAACCCAAAGGCGUAAUGAAAGUAAAGAUUUGAUUGCAAAUUAGAGGAGAGAUCAUGGCUCUGCGUGGCAUCCCGCAAGGGUUGCUGUGCAGGGUAUGCGCAUCUCCGGGACGUCUAUACCUCUGAAGGUGGGGCGUACCUAGAGCGUACACGUUGGGACCCGAAAGAUGGUGAACUAUGCCUGGUCAGAACGAAGUCAGGGGAAACCCUGAUGGAGGUUCGUAGCGAUUCUGACGUGCAAAUCGAUCGUCGGAACUGGGUAUAGGGGCGAAAGACUAAUCGAACCAUCUAGUAGCUGGUUCCCUCCGAAGUUUCCCUCAGGAUAGCUGGCGCUUUUUUAACCAGUCUCAUCCGGUAAAGCGAAUGAUUAGAGGCCUUGGGGCCGAAACGACCUCAACCUAUUCUCAAACUUUAAAUGGGUGAGAAGUCAGGCUUGCUUGAUCGAAGCUCUGACAAUGGAUGGCGAGUGCCAAGUGGGCCACUCUUGGUAAGCAGAACUGGCGCUGUGGGAG